Molecule: ribosomal RNA, 252 nt
Filed under: uncultured bacterium
Lineage: Bacteria
Description: partial 16S ribosomal RNA
Rfam family: Bacterial small subunit ribosomal RNA
Source: RNAcentral
UACGUAGGGUGCAAGCGUUGUCCGGAAUUAUUGGGCGUAAAGAGCUCGUAGGCGGUUCGUCGCGUCGGCUGUGAAAACCUGAGGCUCAACCUCAGGCCUGCAGUCGAUACGGGCGGACUUGAGUACUGCAGGGAGACUGGAAUUCCUGGUGUAGCGGUGAAAUGCGCAGAUAUCAGGAGGAACACCGGUGGCGAAGGCGGGUCUCUGGGCCGAUACUGACGCUGAGGAGCGAAAGCGUGGGGAGCGAACAGG